ACAACACAAAUGUAUUACCUUACAGCUCUAGAGGUCAGGGGUCCACAGCGGGUGGCAGGGCUGCGCUCCUUCUGGAGGCUCUAGGGGAGAAUCCGUGUCCUUGUCUUCUCCAGCUCCUAGAGGCCGGCUGCAUUCUUUGGCUAAGGGCCCCACCUCACGCUGACCUCUGACUCUGCCAUCACAUCUCCUACUCAGACUCUCCUGCCUCCCUCUUUCACUCUCAAGGAUCUCUGUGAUUACCCUGUCUCCACUCAGAUAACCCAAGAUGAUGUCCCCAUCUCGAGAUCCUUAACUGAAUCACCAAGGUGAGUGUCUUUUGCCAUGUAAGUAACAUAUUCACAGAUUCGGAGGAUUCUGUGCCAACCCUUUUCAAACAGGCAUACUUUGAAACCCCCUCUGUGCUCUAACCUGCAGGACAGACACUUUUUCAGUAUUCUCAAAUUUAAUGUGGAUUUACUAGUGAUGGUGGGAUUUCUAAAUAACUCUCAGGCUCACCUUUUAGCUGCCCUUGUCACUUUUCUUAUGGCUGAGUGAGGCUGGGAUGGCAGCCUUGUGACAGACGGCGUACUAGGGUGUGUUGAUUUUUCUCUUUGAUUCAGUUAUUUGGCAGUUUUAGCAUUUUCUCUUCAGCUAAUACUGGGCGCCAGUUUUGUGUGCAAUUUACUUUCCCCUCUUUGUGUUUUCUUGUGGUUGGAGAGGUCGCUUUUGAGGUAAGGAGCUGUGCUGCUGCCAUUGUCCUUGGUGCCCAGAAGUCACUGAAGAUUCCUGAGUGCCUUGGCCCAUGUGUCCCUGUCCCACAUCUCAUGGCCCAUACGUCCCCAUCAGGGCCCUAUUCUGGCAGACAGGCCCACUGCCCUUGAGAGUUCAGACUCCUCAGUAGCUCUGCUAAUAUAAUCGUGUCCUGGGCACAUCCUCAGUUCUUCUGCCCCCUGGCUCUGGGAGAUGAGACUCUGCAGUGCCACCAGGAAGUCCUCUGGCUUUCACACUUCACCUUUCACUUGUGAUUAAUCUCUCUUACUUUUCAUUGUCUUUCUCCAAAGGAUUGAUCCCCAGCAACAGGCAUCCAAUUCCAUAGUCCUUAUAAUUACCAUUUCCUAUUCAGUUUCAAAUGCUGGACACCAAGGUAUUCUCUUGCUCUGGUUACACCCUCCCAGUUCACCACUGGUGAAGUUUGAACACUCGCUCCACUAGGAGAAGUAAGGGCCUCCCCUGCUCCACCUCCCGCCAGUGAUGGGGUCCUCUUGGCCAGCCAGCCCAGUCAUCCAAUUCCAAAUUUGCAUUUAGAGUUUGCUUUCCAGACCACUCCCAGUUGGACACCCAUAUGUCAGUUAUGGUGGGAAGAGACCCUGAAGUGGACAUGAGAAUGUGGAAGCUUAUCGUGGAGUGCAGCCAGGGUCAACAUGCCUGUGGGAGUGAGAGCAGGACUGGGACAGGGAGCUGGUGACCUACAUUCCAGGCACAACACAGACUCGUGAUCUCACAGAGCUGUGGAGCCAAGGUGGUCUUUCAGAGCUGUUUUCAGUGGAGGGGAGAGGGCUGAGCCUCUGUACUCUGGUUCAGCCAGUCUUCUGAUGCCAGCUGCCCUCCAGAAGGAGGUGCAAACUUGGGCAACGCAGCUCUCUUCACCUGAGAGAAAGUCCCAGAGAGCCGCUCAUGAGAACUGUCAUCCUCCAGGACCCCAGGAGCAAAAGAGGGUGAGGUCUCCUCUCCUUCCUUAGGAAUAAAUUCAUUUAUAAAAAAUUAUUUUAAUAUAUUUCUUUAAUUUUAAAAUCAAAAACUGCCCAUUAUAAAAAUGCAAAGAACUCAAACGUACUUCCCCAGAUAAAAUUUUCUGAGUCUAACAGAAAGAUUUCAGCUGACACAUGACCUGGGGUCAAGGUGGGCCGGCUAUUGUUUGAAGCCCCUCCAAGCAUGAGACCCCAUUUCCUAGACUUACCAGGCUGUUCUCCAGACAGCAGUUCUCAUGAGAUCAAGCUACUGUGAGGGCUCCCUCAGCUCCUGACAACAUGGGGUCAUCUAGCCUCACCCCUGCUAUGAAUGAGGGCAGCCUUGCAUCUCUCUCACCCACUGUGAAACCUGUCCUCACUCCACUUGCAUGCUGUGUGGACAUUCAUUCCUAGGACCCUGAGAGUAUGGACUUGUCCUGGUCCCAAAGGCACAGUCUCCGGUCAUUCUACAGAAAACAGUGAUGGAUUUCCCUAGGAUUGAAUCCCACUAAUCUUGUGACCCUCCCUAAACUCUCUGAGCCUCUGUUUCCUCAUCAAAAUGAGGAUAGUAAUACCUGCUCCAGAGAGGUAUGAGGAUCAAGUAAGUAAACCAGGAGGCACACUUACAGGUCACUGAGUACACCUUCUCCACCCUUCCCUCCUGGGGGACAACUCUCACAUCCUGACAGUGGGGUGAAUGAGAAUGAGGAACAUCUUAACACUAAUUUCUGCCUCAAGGUUGAGCACAGGGCAGGAUGUAGGUUCAAAAGCUUCCAAAUGUUGAUGGACCCAGGUAGCCUCAGAGGGAGUAAGUGGAGGCCCUGAGAAUGGCUCCUAUGUGGCCCCUCUAAUAGCUCCUCCCGUCCCUUGAUUUCUAGGCCGAGAGCUGUCUACUGUCCCUCUGGUACUCCUCCUCCUGAGCACAAAGCUGCUCCUGGCCAUCAGUGUCUCUGCCAUCUACGUUCACAGGAAGUGGAGGGCCUGACUAGCACAGAGUCCUGGGCCUCUCCAGAACCACAUCGAGACAGAGCAGGCUCCACGGGCCACCACGAUGCCUGUCCCUGCAUCCUCGCCCUGCCCACCUCUGCCAUCCCUGCUGCUGGGACUCACAGGAAGUAAAACUACUUUACUACUGAAGGAGAAUUUCUCUCCCACCCAGCAACAGCCCAGCCAUGAGAAACUUCGCAGCUCAGCCAACGACAAGCUGUUGCCACCCUGAACUGUUUAAGCUGAGGAUGAAGGAAUUCAAGUUUCCCUGGAUUAGGAUGAAACUGUGCCUGUACCCACAAGGUUAACAUGGGAAACAAAGCAACCAAAGUUUCUAAACUUGCUUUGCAGAACAUCAGGAGGCUCGCUGAUAAAGAGAGUAGCUUGCUGGCAGCCCUCUGCCUGACUAAGCAUCUCGCAGGAGCAUUGAGCAGUUCAAACUUCAGCCCCAAAGGCCACAUGCUCCCCUCCCCGUCUUAUUCUCACAAUGUGCUUUGGAAAAACGCUUAGAACUGCACGUAGGCAAGCUACUCUGCGACUGGUAGAAAGAAUAACGUGUCCUCUGCCCAAACUGUUCCUUCUGUCCCAGAUAAAGAAGUAAUUGAGAUUUUCUUCGAUUCCUCAGAUCUGCUACAGAGAAGCACUCAACAUUCUGUGGUCAUCCAUCGCCUGACGUUUUGAGCCCCUCCCCAAACCCGUUUGCCUUAAAUACGUCAUUUCCAAAUCAGUUCUCCCUGGGAUGGGUUUUUUGAGGACGAUAGUCCACCGUCUUCCGAUGUGCUAGCUUAUUGCUUAUUAAAGUUCUUUCUCUACCACUGCCUGCUUGGCCAUUUAUCUUGCCAUGAGCAG
Long non-coding RNA from Diceros bicornis minor, 3542 nucleotides. RefSeq lists it as uncharacterized. Lineage: Eukaryota; Metazoa; Chordata; Mammalia; Perissodactyla; Rhinocerotidae. The record is from RefSeq and is a predicted model, not a curated record. The transcript has 3 exons.